RNAcentral lists this ribosomal RNA (425 nucleotides) under uncultured bacterium. Its description in RNAcentral is "bacterial SSU rRNA". It matches the Rfam family "Bacterial small subunit ribosomal RNA", at positions 354 to 796 of the family's 1533-position model. The record is from RNAcentral.
GUGGGGAAUAUUGGACAAUGGGCGCAAGCCUGAUCCAGCCAUGCCGCGUGAGUGAUGAAGGCCUUAGGGUUGUAAAGCUCUUUCGUCAGGGAAGAUAAUGACGGUACCUGAAGAAGAAGCCCCGGCUAACUUCGUGCCAGCAGCCGCGGUAAUACGAAGGGGGCUAGCGUUGCUCGGAAUCACUGGGCGUAAAGCGCACGUAGGCGGCUUUCUAAGUCAGGGGUGAAAUCCUGGAGCUCAACUCCAGAACUGCCUUUGAUACUGGAGAGCUUGAGUUCGGGAGAGGUGAGUGGAACUGCGAGUGUAGAGGUGAAAUUCGUAGAUAUUCGCAAGAACACCAGUGGCGAAGGCGGCUCACUGGCCCGAUACUGACGCUGAGGUGCGAAAGCGUGGGGAGCAAACAGGAUUAGAAACCCUGGUAGUCC